CACACCGUAAACGAUGAAUGCCAGUCGUCGGGCAGUAUACUGUUCGGUGACACACCUAACGGAUUAAGCAUUCCGCCUGGGGAGUACGGUCGCAAGAUUAAAACUCAAAGGAAUUGACGG
Molecule: ribosomal RNA, 120 nt
Filed under: uncultured bacterium
Lineage: Bacteria
Description: partial 16S ribosomal RNA
Rfam family: Bacterial small subunit ribosomal RNA
Source: RNAcentral